CAGCCACCAACAGGCAACAUUGAGUGGACACAGGGGGUUUUGUCAUUUAUAGCACGGUACAUCAAUCAAGGCUGUGUCAUUUGCAACACAAGUGAAUUUGUUAAUUUCUUAUCAAAUUUUAGUGUUAACCUCUUAUCAUACUCUGCUACUUUAAAUAUUUUUUAAUUCAAUGCAAGUAUCCUUUCGUUUCUCAAAGGAGAAAUACAUUUUUUUUGUAAGUUGGUACAUUUAGCUGAUGUUAACUGCCUUUUUGACCAUCUUUUUCUUUUUAAGUACGAUGUUAAACUGAAAGUUUUUAAGAAGCUUAAUUCUUCUCACUUUUUCAGUUCCAAGUGAAAGUGAAGAAGCACCUGAACGAGGAAUUGCACUGGAUUUUGAUGGCAAUGCCUUACAAGCCAUUGCUGAAGUUUACAGGAAUAAGGGUAAUGAGGCCUUUAAGAAAGGAGAUUUCCUCGAUGCUAUUCACUUUUACACAGAAGGAAUUAAAGUGAACUGCAAGGACAAAGAACUGAAGGCCAAACUGUACAACAACAGAGCAAUUGCACAUUUUAAACUUGGAAAUCACGAGGAUUCACUGAGUGAUGCAAAAGCUGCCACUGAGUUGCAACCAACUUUCCUCAAGGCAAUUGUGAGAGG
This is a long non-coding RNA of Stylophora pistillata, 636 nucleotides long. The record is from RefSeq and is a predicted model, not a curated record. Lineage: Eukaryota; Metazoa; Cnidaria; Anthozoa; Scleractinia; Pocilloporidae.